UCUUUGGUGAUCUAGUGUCUAAGACUUUGCCCUCCCAAGGCAGAGGACCUGGGUUCAAUCCCUGGUUAGGGAA
RNAcentral lists this transfer RNA (73 nucleotides) under Bos taurus (domestic cattle). It matches the Rfam family "tRNA". Rfam says of the family: Transfer RNA (tRNA) molecules are approximately 80 nucleotides in length. Their secondary structure includes four short double-helical elements and three loops (D, anti-codon, and T loops). RNAcentral also lists the same sequence under 4 other names. Lineage: Eukaryota; Metazoa; Chordata; Mammalia; Artiodactyla; Bovidae. The record is from Rfam by way of RNAcentral.